This 465-nucleotide ribosomal RNA is filed under the name Vreelandella stevensii. RNAcentral describes it as "partial 16S ribosomal RNA". It matches the Rfam family "Bacterial small subunit ribosomal RNA", at positions 338 to 795 of the family's 1533-position model. Lineage: Bacteria; Pseudomonadati; Pseudomonadota; Gammaproteobacteria; Oceanospirillales; Halomonadaceae. The record is from RNAcentral.
CCUACGGGUGGCAGCAGUGGGGAAUAUUGGACAAUGGGGGCAACCCUGAUCCAGCCAUACCGCGUGUGUGAAGAAGGCCCUCGGGUUGUAAAGCACUUUCAGUGAGGAAGAACGCCUGGUGGUUAAUACCCAUCAGGAAAGACAUCACUCACAGAAGAAGCACCGGCUAACUCCGUGCCAGCAGCCGCGGUAAUACGGAGGGUGCGAGCGUUAAUCGGAAUUACUGGGCGUAAAGCGCGCGUAGGUGGCUUGAUAAGCCGGUUGUGAAAGCCCCGGGCUCAACCUGGGAACGGCAUCCGGAACUGUCAAGCUAGAGUGCAGGAGAGGAAGGUAGAAUUCCCGGUGUAGCGGUGAAAUGCGUAGAGAUCGGGAGGAAUACCAGUGGCGAAGGCGGCCUUCUGGACUGACACUGACACUGAGGUGCGAAAGCGUGGGUAGCAAACAGGAUUAGAUACCCUUGUAGUC